CAUAUCCCCCCUGUCUCGUCUUUCCUCCAAGCUAUACAUGUUAAGAUCCUUUAACCUUUCCUGGUAAGUUUUAUCCCGCAAUCCAUGAACCGGUUUAGUAGCCCUUCUCUGAACCCUCUCUAAGGUAUCAAUAUCCUUCUGAAGACACGGUCUCCAGUACUGCGUACAAUACUCCAAGUGAGGUCUCACCAGUGUUCUGUACAAUGGCAUGAGCACUUCUCUCUUUC
Molecule: non-coding RNA, 227 nt
Organism: Pelobates cultripes (western spadefoot toad)
Lineage: Eukaryota; Metazoa; Chordata; Amphibia; Anura; Pelobatidae
Source: the annotation of a GenBank genome assembly